This 458-nucleotide ribosomal RNA is filed under the name uncultured bacterium. Its description in RNAcentral is "partial 16S ribosomal RNA". It matches the Rfam family "Bacterial small subunit ribosomal RNA", at positions 338 to 795 of the family's 1533-position model. The record is from RNAcentral.
CCUACGGGUGGCAGCAGUGAGGAAUAUUGGUCAAUGGUCGGGAGACUGAACCAGCCAAGCCGCGUGAGGGAUGAAGGUACAGAGUAUCGUAAACCUCUUUUGUCAGGGAACAAAGGCGGGGACGCGUCCCGGAUGAGUGUACCUGAAGAAAAAGCAUCGGCUAACUCCGUGCCAGCAGCCGCGGUAAUACGGAGGAUGCGAGCGUUUUCCGGAUUUUAUGGGUUUAAAGGGUGCGCAGGGGGUCUGUUAAGUCAGCGGUAAAAGCCCGGGGUCAAACCCCGGCCCGCCGUUGAGACUGGCAGUCUCGAGUUGGAGAGAGGUAGGCGGAAUGCGCGGUGUAGCGGUGAAAUGCAUAGAUAUCGCGAAGAACUCCGAUUGCGAAGGCAGCGUACCGGCGCCAGACUGACGCUGAGGCACGAAAGCGUGGGGAUCGAACAGGAUUAGAUACCCUUGUAGUC